CCUACGGGAGGCAGCAGUGGGGAAUAUUGCACAAUGGGGGAAACCCUGAUGCAGCGACGCCGCGUGAGUGAAGAAGUAUUUCGGUAUGUAAAGCUCUAUCAGCAGGGAAGAAAAUGACGGUACCUGAUUAAGAAGCCCCGGCUAACUACGGGCCAGCAGCCGCGGUAAUACGUAGGGGGAAAGCGUUAUCCGGGUUGAGUGGGUGUAAAGGGAGAGGAGCCGGGAGCACAAGUCAGGGUGGAAGUGCCGGGGCUUAACCCCGGAACUGCUUUGGAACCGGGGCAGUGAGGGUGCAGGAGAGGUAAGUGGAAUUCCUAGUGUAGCGGUGAAAUGCGUAGAUAUUAGGAGGAACACCAGUGGCGAAGGCGGCUUACUGGACUGUAACUGACGUUGAGGCUCGAAAGCGUGGGGAGCAAACAGGAUUAGAUACCCUAGUAGUC
Molecule: ribosomal RNA, 440 nt
Filed under: uncultured bacterium
Lineage: Bacteria
Description: partial 16S ribosomal RNA
Rfam family: Bacterial small subunit ribosomal RNA
Source: RNAcentral